GCCCAAGAGAUCGGGAUAACACCUGGAAACAGAUGCUAAUACCGGAUAACAACAGAUGAUGCCUAUCAACUGUUUAAAAGAUGGUUCUGCUAUCACUCUUGGAUGGACCUGCGGUGCAUUAGCUAGUUGGUAGGGUAACGGCCUACAAAGGCGAUGAUGCAUAGCCGAGUUGAGAGACUGAUCGGCCACAUUGGGACUGAGACACGGCCCAAACUCCUACGGGAGGCAGCAGCG
This 234-nucleotide ribosomal RNA is filed under the name uncultured Lactobacillus sp. RNAcentral's name for it is "partial 16S ribosomal RNA". It matches the Rfam family "Bacterial small subunit ribosomal RNA", at positions 128 to 356 of the family's 1533-position model. Lineage: Bacteria; Bacillati; Bacillota; Bacilli; Lactobacillales; Lactobacillaceae. The record is from RNAcentral.